UACGUAGGGAGCAAGCGUUGUUCGGAUUUACUGGGCGUAAAGGGCGCGUAGGCGGCAAUUCAAGUCAGCUGUGAAAUCUCCGGGCUUAACUCGGAACGGUCAGCUGAUACUGCUUUGCUAGAGUGCGGAAGGGGCAAUCGGAAUUCUCGGUGUAGCGGUGAAAUGCGUAGAGAUCGGGAGGAACACCCGUGGCGAAGGCGGCCUGCUGGGCCGAUCCUGACGCUGAGGCGCGAAGGCGUGGGGAGCGAACGGG
Molecule: ribosomal RNA, 253 nt
Filed under: uncultured bacterium
Lineage: Bacteria
Description: partial 16S ribosomal RNA
Rfam family: Bacterial small subunit ribosomal RNA
Source: RNAcentral